UACUUUAGAGAAAAAACACGAAAAACCUACGUGAAAAAAUUCAAAUGGAUCCUGAAUAAGCAACGUCCACGUGGGCCAGCACCAAAGCUAAAACUGGAAGAUGUAAUUACUAUCGUAGGAAGCUUCCACGUCCCAACACAAGUUGAAGACCUCUUAAAGAAAGGGCCCAUCACUGUCCCACAAAGCGUACCCAAGAUAUGUGAUAUGGCACCACAUAUUGACCGCUUAUUAAUGAACUACAAUGAAGUGGAUAAGGAGAAAAGAAGAUGGGACCUUAUUAAAGCUAGCCAAACGGAAGCUAGGACACCCGCUAAAAACUUUUCUAAGUAUAAGGCAACUAUACCCUAUGCCAAAGACUGGAUGAGAACGAACUCCAUUACAUGCACAAAAGAUGAUAAGACCAAGAAAU
RNAcentral lists this long non-coding RNA (409 nucleotides) under Androctonus crassicauda. Lineage: Eukaryota; Metazoa; Arthropoda; Arachnida; Scorpiones; Buthidae. The record is from RNAcentral.